GGAGCACGCCGCGUGAGUGAUGAAGGCUUUCGGGUCGUAAAACUCUGUUGUUAGGGAAGAACAAGUGCUAGUUGAAUAAGCUGGCACCUUGACGGUACCUAACCAGAAAGCCACGGCUAACUACGUGCCAGCAGCCGCGGUAAUACGUAGGUGGCAAGCGUUAUCCGGAAUUAUUGGGCGUAAAGCGCGCGCAGGUGGUUUCUUAAGUCUGAUGUGAAAGCCCACGGCUCAACCGUGGAGGGUCAUUGGAAACUGGGAGACUUGAGUGCAGAAGAGGAAAGUGGAAUUCCAUGUGUAGCGGUGAAAUGCGUAGAGAUAUGGAGGAACACCAGUGGCGAAGGCGACUUUCUGGUCUGUAACUGACACUGAGGCGCGAAAGCGUGGGGAGCAAACAGGAUUAGAUACCCUGGUAGUCCACGCGUAAACGAUGAGUGCUAAGUGUUAGAGGGUUUCCGCCCUUUAGUGCUGAAGUUAACGCAUUAAGCACUCCGCCUGGGGAGUACGGCCGCAAGGCUGAAACUCAAAGGAAUUGACGGGGCCCGCACAAGCGGUGGAGCAUGUGGUUUAAUUCGAAGCCGCGAAGAACCUUCCAGGUCUUGACAUCCUCUGACAACCUAGAAUAGGGCUUCUCCUUCGGAGCAGAGUGACAGGUGGUGCAUGGUUGUCGUCAGCUCGUGUCUGAGAUGU
RNAcentral lists this ribosomal RNA (687 nucleotides) under Bacillus sp. 841B06. RNAcentral describes it as "bacterial SSU rRNA". It matches the Rfam family "Bacterial small subunit ribosomal RNA", at positions 388 to 1075 of the family's 1533-position model. Lineage: Bacteria; Bacillati; Bacillota; Bacilli; Caryophanales; Bacillaceae. The record is from RNAcentral.